RNAcentral lists this ribosomal RNA (567 nucleotides) under uncultured bacterium. RNAcentral's name for it is "bacterial SSU rRNA". It matches the Rfam family "Bacterial small subunit ribosomal RNA", at positions 65 to 626 of the family's 1533-position model. The record is from RNAcentral.
AACGAGAAGGUGUAGCAAUACACUUGUAAAGUGGCGAACGGGUGAGGAAUACAUGGGUGACCUACCCUCGAGUGGGGAAUAACCAGCCGAAAGGUUGGCUAAUACCGCGUACGAUUCCCGGUUUGCGGAUCGGGAAGGAAAGCGAUGCUGUGAGUAUCGCGCUCAAGGACGGGCUCAUGUCCUAUCAGCUUGUUGGUGAGGUAACGGCUCACCAAGGCUUCGACGGGUAGCUGGUCUGAGAGGACGAUCAGCCACACUGGCACUGCGACACGGGCCAGACUCCUACGGGAGGCAGCAGUAAGGAAUAUUGCGCAAUGGGCGAAAGCCUGACGCAGCGACGCCGCGUGGGGGAUGAAGGUCUUCGGAUUGUAAACCCCUUUCGGGAGGGAAGAUGGGAUGGGUAACCAUCCGGACGGUACCUCCAGAAGCAGCCACGGCUAACUUCGUGCCAGCAGCCGCGGUAAUACGAAGGUGGCAAGCGUUGUUCGGAUUCACUGGGCGUACAGGGAGCGUAGGCGGUUGGGUAAGCCCUCCGUGAAAUCUCCGGGCCCAACCCGGAAAGUGCAG